RNAcentral lists this ribosomal RNA (433 nucleotides) under uncultured marine eukaryote. Its description in RNAcentral is "SSU rRNA". It matches the Rfam family "Eukaryotic small subunit ribosomal RNA", at positions 1 to 438 of the family's 1831-position model. The record is from RNAcentral.
AACCUGGUUGAUCCUGCCAGUAGUCAUAUGCUUGUCUCAAAGACUAAGCCAUGCAUGUCUAAGUAUAAGUAUUAUACAGCGAAACUGCGAAUGGCUCAUUAAAACAGUUAUAAUUUAUUUGAUAAUCGAAUUUACAUGGAUAACCGUGGUAAUUCUAGAGCUAAUACAUGCUGGUAGGCCCGACUUUUUGGAAGGGCGGUAUUUAUUAGAUAACAAACCAAUAUUCCUCUGGUCUAUUGUGGUGAAUCAUAAUAACUGAUCGAAUCGCAAGGUUUUUAACCGCGAUAAGUCAUUCAAGUUUCUGCCCCAUCAGCUUUCGAUGGUAGUGUAUUGGACUACCAUGGCUUUUACGGGUAACGGAGGAUAAGGGUUCGAUUCCGGAGAGGGAGCCUGAGAAACGGCUACCACAUCUAAGGAAGGCAGCAGGCGCGUA